Molecule: ribosomal RNA, 301 nt
Filed under: uncultured bacterium
Lineage: Bacteria
Description: partial 16S ribosomal RNA
Rfam family: Bacterial small subunit ribosomal RNA
Source: RNAcentral
CAGUAGCCGCGGUAAAACGAAGGGUGCAAGCGUUAAUCGGAAUUACUGGGCGUAAAGCGUGCGUAGGCGGUUUGUUAAGUCUGCUGUGAAAUCCCCGGGCUCAACCUGGGAAUGGCAGUGGAUACUGGCAAGCUAGAGUGUGUCAGAGGAUGGUGGAAUUCCCGGUGUAGCGGUGAAAUGCGUAGAGAUCGGGAGGAACAUCAGUGGCGAAGGCGGCCAUCUGGGACAACACUGACGCUGAGGCACGAAAGCGUGGGGAGCAAACAGGAUUAGAUACCCCUGUAGUCCCUGUCUCUUAUAC